This is a long non-coding RNA of Dreissena polymorpha, 579 nucleotides long. RefSeq lists it as uncharacterized. The record is from RefSeq and is a predicted model, not a curated record. The transcript is spliced from 3 exons. NCBI's taxonomy places the organism in Eukaryota, Metazoa, Mollusca, Bivalvia, Myida, Dreissenidae.
CCCAAAAGCGCCACCCGUUUCCGACGAGACUUGUCCUUUUGGGGACACCCCAAGAAUUUUUAUUGAAUCCAAUCAAACGUGUCAAGAAAUCAUCUCGGGUUCGAAUUACUCAUAUAAGUGCUACACCGAAUACUACAACGAAGAAUGCUGUUCAACAUGUAAUCGUAUCAGAGAAGAAUACAAACAUUUAACUGAUUGUCAGUAUGGAGACCGAGCUACGGGCUGUCAACAAGAAUUUUGCCCUGGAUAUACCGAAUACUCCAGAACUGUGCUCUGCUGUCAAACAUGCGCAGCAGCUACCACAACUCAAUCUCCGAACACUACAAUUGGUGCUCAUACCACAACAACCGACGCGUCUUCUACAGCUGCGGCUCCUACAACACGAGCUCUACCAACAACUGAGGCUCAUACAACUGAGGUUUCUACAAGUGAGGCUCCUUUAUUAACUGAGGCUACAACAACAGAGUCUCCUACAUCUGUGGCUACUAUAAUAACUGAGACUUCUACAACUGAGGCUCCUACAACCGAGGUUUCUACAACUGAAGCUUCUAUACUAACUAAGGUUAUAACAACUGAGUC